Molecule: ribosomal RNA, 76 nt
Filed under: Caerostris extrusa
Lineage: Eukaryota; Metazoa; Arthropoda; Arachnida; Araneae; Araneidae
Source: RNAcentral
AGAUCACCGAAGUCAAGCCUCAUUAUGCGCGGUCAGUACUUGGGUGGGUGACCACCUGAGAACAUCGCGUGCAGUU